RNAcentral lists this long non-coding RNA (407 nucleotides) under Selaginella moellendorffii. Its description in RNAcentral is "long non-coding RNA (SMOE_LNC000015)". Lineage: Eukaryota; Viridiplantae; Streptophyta; Lycopodiopsida; Selaginellales; Selaginellaceae. The record is from RNAcentral.
UUCGUGUUUGGAGGCGCGGCAGCGAGCGUCCGGGGCAGGAACAAUUCCCUGAGCGCUGUCUGGAGGGAGGCUCUGUGGCAUGUCAGCCUCUCCCGGACCUGGAACGACAGCACGACGGUGAAAGAGCGGCAGCAAAUCUUCCAGUAUCUUACCACGACCGACGACAUUCUUCGCAACAUCACGCCCGGCGGAGGGUGCUACAAGAACGAGGCGGACUACUUCGAGCCAUACUGGCAGGACGCGUUCUUCGGGGAGAAGUACUCGGCGCUCAAGGCGAUCAAGGAGAGCGUGGAUCCAACCGGCUUGUUCCUGUGCUGGAAGUGCGUUGGAAGCGAAAAUCUGGUCCAAGGCAACUGCAAAGCCGCAGGAAAUCGAAAAUCGGAACAUACCUCACUCACAUAGACCCC